GAGCGCUGCGCCUGCCGUCCGGCCGAGCUCCACAUCCUCAAUCCCCUGAUGUGCGCCGCCGUCACUGUCGUCCUUGACGAAAUAAGGCAGCGCGAGCGGUCGACUACAAUAUCUCAGGUUUCUCCGUCUUUCUAACUGCUGCCGCCAGGCCCAGGCCCUCCCUUCCGCGCGCUCUUCCUAGCUUGGAGAUGCGUCUGAGGCGGUGCAGCGAUGGGUGAGUCAGCUCCGCAGCGCCGGGAUCCCUCUCCGGCAGGUGCUGAUUCGUCUUCUCCACAACGCCAUCGGGGAGGUGCUACAUCUCCACUCCAGUAGCUGUCAGUGCCCCUCCAAACGCGAUGCCCUGGCUCAGCACCAGGUGGUGUGUUGCCUGCACGAUGACAUGCAAUUGUUUUUAGGGUCACGAGUAAUCUUUCACCCUGUUAUCUCAAUAAGGAAGAGACAAGUUUUUUGAUUCAGUAGCACCCGGAAUUGAAGAAAUUGAAAGGGCUUGGAGCUAAUGGAUUAGUUUGUUCAUGAAGAAGUAUUUGAAAGACCUCCGAUGAAGCUCCAAAACUGAGUCAUCUCUACUGUUUCAGUAUCACAGCCAAUUCCAAUAAGGAAACGAAGGAAGCGAGCAAUGUGCAACAUACGCUUUCAGGGAGUAAAAUGGCUAGGUGUCGAGGAAAUCCUGAGAAAAAUUGGAGUACAAUCAGAUCUUGGAAGAUUCUUUGCAUGGACAAACAUUUAGCUCUUCUAAACAAGAAUUUGCUACUUCUGGACCAUCAUCGUGUGGGGGCCUCCUGAAGAUUGCAUGUACCUGAAUUUUCUGUUGUUGCGCUCUGUCAUUGGAAAUCCGUCCAGCUGCCCGCUGGUGAAUCCUGUUGAUCGUUGGCGCCAGGAGAUUGCCUGUGAGAAACUCAUUCAGCGAGCACAUAAGCUUCAGUUCUAAAAAACUAUAAAAUCGAGUUUCCUCUUCAUUUUCUUGUUUCUGCCUUCCUGUACUUCAAAAAAAAACUGUCACACUUGUGUUUGCAUCUUAAAUGAAACCAGGGGACGUGGCCCCUUUAAUUCUAAAAGAAACAUCAAUAAUUCUUUAACUCUGGGUUGGGCGCGGCGUGCCGCCGCAACUGUUUUUGCUAGUUUCUAUCAAGAGGGUACCAAAGGUUCUUU
Molecule: long non-coding RNA, 1149 nt
Organism: Lolium rigidum
Lineage: Eukaryota; Viridiplantae; Streptophyta; Magnoliopsida; Poales; Poaceae
Exons: 3
Source: RefSeq, a predicted model, not a curated record